This 460-nucleotide ribosomal RNA is filed under the name uncultured bacterium. Its description in RNAcentral is "partial 16S ribosomal RNA". It matches the Rfam family "Bacterial small subunit ribosomal RNA", at positions 338 to 795 of the family's 1533-position model. The record is from RNAcentral.
CCUACGGUGCGCAGCAGUGAGGAAUAUUGGUCAAUGGGCGCGAGCCUGAACCAGCCAAGUAGCGUGAAGGAUGAAUGCCCUACGGGUUGUAAACUUCUUUUAUAAAGGAAUAAAGUGAGGCACGUGUGCCUGAUUGUAUGUACUUUAUGAAUAAGGAUCGGCUAACUCCGUGCCAGCAGCAGCGGUAAUACGGAGGAUCCGAGCGUUAUCCGGAUUUAUUGGGGUUAAAGGGAGCGUAGAUGGGUUGUUAAGUCAGUUGUGAAAGUUGUCGGCUCAACCGUAAAAUUGCAAUUGAUACUGGCAGUCUUGAGUGCAGUUGAGGUAGGCGGAAUUCGUGGUGUAGCUGUGAAAUGCUUAGAUAUCACGAAGAACUCCGAUUGCGAAGGCAGCUUACUAAACUGCCACUGACAUUGAUGCUCGAAAGUGUGGGUAUCAAACAGGAUUAGAUACCCCAGUAGUC